Molecule: long non-coding RNA, 575 nt
Organism: Dendroctonus ponderosae (mountain pine beetle)
Lineage: Eukaryota; Metazoa; Arthropoda; Insecta; Coleoptera; Curculionidae
Exons: 2
Source: RefSeq, a predicted model, not a curated record
AAACUGAGAAUAGUAGUGAAAAUACUGAUUUACAAUCUUUGGCCGGGAAAAUAUAUAGCCGGUUACACAAGUUUAUCGGAAAAUAUGAAUUAGGUGUGGAAACAAAACUUAUUGAAAUUGAUAGAACAUCCCGAAAUUGGCUGAGUUUUAUCUCAAGAGGAAAUCUUCUAGGUGCCAAUGAAAACAUGUUGCAAGCUACUAAAGUAUUGGAAUCUGAAGUUAAUGUUAUGCAUGGAACGUAAUUAGCUGGGUAAAGCUUUACGAUACGAUCUGCUGUGGCACGCGCAUAUGUCUGUACGCACGGUAGACGCAGCCAAAAAUUGCAUACUGGUCAGCCAUGUUGCCGAACUUGGCCACUUGGACUGGCUUUGUUGCCACUAAAGUAGAAAAUUUCAAUGAAAACAAAAAAGUUGAAAACUUAGCAGAAUUACGUCCAUACGUAGUAGACGAAACUGAUAAGCUCAUACAUAUGAUUGUGCUCGUAAUUUAGCCGGGGCCCAGCUGAUUGAAGCCAGCCGUUUGAAAUAUCAAAUUAAUUGUGUAUGCAUGCAAAGAAAAUAAAAUUAUUUUCAGUA